Molecule: long non-coding RNA, 4098 nt
Organism: Mesoplodon densirostris (Blainville's beaked whale)
Lineage: Eukaryota; Metazoa; Chordata; Mammalia; Artiodactyla; Ziphiidae
Exons: 6
Source: RefSeq, a predicted model, not a curated record
UUGUACUUAAUGCUGUGCUGGUACGCAUGCCGAGCUCAUGAGGACGCCGAGCUCCUGGGCGCCUGGCCCACGCAGUCCCAGGUGUACGUUCCACAUCGCUCUCACUUGCUCAAGUCUCGGGGCCGCCGGCAUGACGCCGGGGAGAUCUCAGAGCGAGGCGGAGAUGGUAGAGACCACCCUCUACAUCUCCAACCGGAAGGCGCAUCUUACUACCCAGCAGAAAGAAGAAAACCUCUCUGGGCCAGGACAGCCCAGCCACUGAGAAGCCUCCAUAUUUUGGACGCCCAGCUCCUCCAAUGGACUCCUCGGUUAUUACAGCCCCUCCAGACUACUCCUUUUCCCUGUAAUAGUAAGCGCCCCGUCAUUAUCCUCUGGGUUUGCCGGUGCUCCGUCAUAGAUUGCAAUUACGCCCUCUAUUGCUGAACUCACUUUUGCUGGACUCAGUGGUCUUUGAGGAUGUGGCUGCGGACUUCACCUGGGCAGAGUGGGCUGUGCUAAGUCCUACUCAGAGGGACUCUACAGAGAAUGUGAUGCUUCGAACCUUCAGGAUCUUGGCCUCAGCAGGACUCAGUGGUCUUUGAGGAUGUGGCUGCAGACUUCACCUGGGCAGAGUGGGCUUUGCUAAGUCCUGUUCAGAGGAACUCUACAGAGGUGUGAUGCUUCAAACCUUCAGGAACUUGGCCUCAGCAGGUGGAUCCUGCUUAAAAGGACAUGAUUGAGCUGGGUUUGCAAUAACUUCAACAGAAAUAAGUGAAAGUUCUUAUUUACCAGACACCAAAUCGGCCCAACAAGCUGAACUGAUUGCAUGACUAGGGCUUGUCAGUUAGCCAAAGGUCAAAUAAACAAUGUCUAUACUGAUAGCUGCUAUGCCUUUGGAGUGGCUCGUGAUUUUAAAAUGCUGUGGAAACAGGAUUUCUCACCUCUUCUGGUCAGCCUGUAAAGAAUGGACAGCUCAUCUCAACACUAUUAGACUCCACUCAAUUUCCCAGACAGCUCACGAUCAUGAAGAUACCUGGGCAUUCCAAAUCUGACUCAACAGAGGCCAAAGGACGUGGACCGGCUGAUGCUGCAGUACGCAGGCCUCUCACUGUUGCGGCCUCUCCCGUUGCGGAGCACAGGCUCCGGACGCGCAGGCUCAGCAGCCAUGGCUCACGGGCCCAGCCGCUCUGCGGCAUGUGGGAUCCCCCCGGACCGGGACACGAACCCGUGUCCCCUGCAUCAGCAGGCGGACUCUCAACCACUGCGCCACCAGGGAAGCCCAAGGACUAAUCUCUUGGCGUCACAUCUCUCACCUCAAAAGGGCCUCCCCUGCUGAAUGGACUGCAACUCCUAUUUCUGACACCCCACUUCCACUAAGAGAGGCUCCAUCAAACCAGGAUGAGAAGAACACAACAACAGUGGUAGACAGCUAACCCAAGAGUCCAGACCAGACCUGUAAGAAACUGUCUCUCUCCAUCAAAAUGUCUUCCUCUCUAUCAAAAUUGAAAGUUAUGGGACUUCCCUGGCGGUCCAGUGGUUAAGACACCCCGCUUUCCCUGCAGGAGGCAUGGGUUCCAUCCCUGAUCAGGGAACUAAGAUCCCGCAUGCCGCACGGUACAGCCAAAAAAAUUGAAAGUUAUUGUUCUAUUUCUAGCUAUGUUCUUAGGCCAAUGUUUAGGGUGGAAAGAAAACUCUUUAGUAAAACUAUCACAAAGUAUACGUACUGGGGGAGGUUAACUGAUUGUUGGAUUUGUCAUCAGAUUGCUCCGUCAGUACGAGGCCGAUUAAACCCCUUGUAAUUCCCGUCACUGACUUUUCAGAUGUUCCUAAUGUUAUACCACUUACUCAGACACACCUCCCUCUGGCCUAACUUUUCAGGUUCAAAUUCUCCAAAACACGAAUAUGUCCGUCCCUUGACUGACACUAUCUUCGUUUCUUAGAGACGGCACACAACUCACCCCCGGCCCCCCUCACUGUCCCUUACUGUUUUUUGGCUGUGCCGCACGGCAUGCGGGAUCUUAGUUCCCCGACCAGGGAUCAGACCUGAGCCCCCUGCAGUGGAAGCGCGGAGUCGUAACCACUGGGCCGCUGGGGAAGUCCCCGUGUCCUGUACUUAAUUAACAGAUGUCUUAAAGAGAAAAAUACGAGUUACGUAUGCCAGCAACUCCCCCACCUCCAAUAUCAUACCGAUAGCUUUUGGAAAGUCUGCAGAAGAAAUGGCCCACGGUUUAAAUACUGUGUUAAGGGAACUUCCAGUUAACGAAGCCAUCAACAAAAGCGCUCUAGGUGGAGUCACUUGUGCUCCCCCAGGUUUUGUCUUCAUAUAUGGUAUUGGAACUGACCCACCUUCCCAAGGGUAUUCACAUACAUGUCUGAAGAGCUGGCAAGUAGAAGGUUUAUUUGAUCGGGACGUUAUGUUACCCCAUUGUCUAUCCAGAAAGAGACAGAUGGGACCUCCUUUUUCUCCCCAUUACAGAGUCAGGAGAUCCAUGUGAGGAGGAUACCAAAGAAACCUGGUGGCAAAGUCUUUUUGGUUCCUAGCGCAGGAGUAUAUGUAAACAGGGGUACGCUUAGAAACCUAUCAGCCACCAUUAGUCAAAUGGUUGAAGAAACUGCAAAAAGCACUGCAGCACAGCAGAAAUCCUUUGAUUCCUUAGCCCAAGUUGUGUUAGAUAACAGAAUUGCCUUAGAUCUCCUACUGCCCAAACAAGGAGGCGUUUUAUGCUAUUGGUCACACGGGUUACACUUAUGUUAACACCUCCAGAGAGGUUGAGACACACCCGGAAAAAAUUUUCCGAAGAGCAAAAUGGUUACAAGAUGUAAGAAAGUGAUCCUUUAAGUCAGUGGUCCCCAAUCUUUUUGGCACCAGGAACCAGCUUCAUGGAAGACAGUUUUUCCAUGGACCGGGGCGGGGGCAGGGAGGUAUGGUUCAGGCAGUGACGUGAGUGAUGGGGAGCAGCAGAUGAAGCUUCGCUCGCCUGCCCGCCGCUCACCUCCUGCUGUGCGGCCCGAUUCCUAACAGGCCGAGGACUGGUAGUGGUCCGCAUGCCAAGGGUUGGGGACCCCUGCUUUAAGUGACCUUUUUAGUCAGCUACCCUCAGGACUAGGCAACGUUUUCCGCUUUGCUUUACAGACAAUUGUUAUUUUCAUUAUAUGCACUACCAUCCAUUUCCCUUCCUGGCUAUCAAAUUACUCAUAACAUGUAUCACUGCUUGUUCUAAGCAAAAGCACACAUACAAUGAUUGUACAACAAACUGAGAUGACUGAUCAAAUGUAUAAUCUAUAAAACUUGCCUUCAUCAAUAUAUUUCUAUGAUUACUGCAUUAAAUUACUUUGGUAAAAUAUAUAAUGAUGCUUAAACAAGUUGAAACUGCUGAUCAUUUCUAUAAUUCUGUAUAAGGUAAUGGACAUACACAAUGCACAUAAAGUACAAUUGGCCUAAGUCCUACAGGACACCUUAGAAUUGGCUACCAGUCCUUGCCAAGCAUCCUACUAGUGCAUUCCCCCUGCAAAAGAAAAAAAAAAGGACCGGGCUCUCAAGACCCAGCAUGGAGGGACAUGAUGAAUUGGAAGCAGGUAAGCAACCACCUCGGGACCAAAUAGUUGAUCAUCUAAUGCUUUCUAUCAAAAGAUUUAUGAUCAGAAGGGGGAAGAUGAUGAGGGAAAUCAUAAAUAUUCUGUGGCAGGACAAUCAACUAAGAAAGAAAACAAAAAAACAAAUGACAUGCUCCCUUUGUGGCAAGCUUUUCCCAGUGUUCAAUGUGCAUAUCUAUAUGAUACAUUAACCGGACCUCCUCAAAGCAGCAGGAUGAAAUCAGUCUUUGAGAAAAAGAUGACCCUUUUCUUUAGACGCCUGCAUUUCAAUAUUGUAAUUCUAUGACUAAUAUAUUUCUUUUUCCUCUCAUACAAGGGUACAUGGGGGUCGCACUGACCAAAGGCUUGUCUGUACAUGCAAUAUUAAGGGGAAAAAAACCCAACUUGUUGACUGAACUAUGUACACAGUGCUAAUCUGUCAAUAUGAGACAUAAUUUGUCUCAAAGAUGUAUAAAACUGCAUCUCUGACUCCUGAUCAAUGGAGCAGUUUUCAGACUUUCUGAGAAUGUUUCCUGGGUUAUAAUC